RNAcentral lists this small nucleolar RNA (121 nucleotides) under Echinops telfairi (small Madagascar hedgehog). Its description in RNAcentral is "Small nucleolar RNA SNORA61 (ENSETEG00000025479.1)". The record is from RNAcentral. Lineage: Eukaryota; Metazoa; Chordata; Mammalia; Afrosoricida; Tenrecidae.
AUCUUCCAAUUUCCUUACCGCUCAGAUUUAGACACUAAUCUGAAUGCUUAUACAAGGAGGGAAUGCAAAAUUAAGACUGAUUUCAAUGCUUGUGUGGCACAUGAGCUAGUUUCAAACAAUU